UGCCGGAUAGUGUAAUGGUAGCACUACUGACUCUGACUCAGUCUGUCUGGGUUCAAAUCCUAGUCCGGCAGCCA
Molecule: transfer RNA, 74 nt
Filed under: Eubacteriaceae bacterium
Lineage: Bacteria; Bacillati; Bacillota; Clostridia; Eubacteriales; Eubacteriaceae
Also listed under: 1 other name
Description: tRNA-Gln
Rfam family: tRNA
About the family: Transfer RNA (tRNA) molecules are approximately 80 nucleotides in length.
Source: RNAcentral